GUCUUCUUGGUACAGCUGGCAGUGUGUCAGUCUCAUAAUUUUGAAGGCCCUGAGUUCAAGCCUCAGAGAGGGCA
This 74-nucleotide transfer RNA is filed under the name Equus asinus (donkey). It matches the Rfam family "tRNA". From Rfam's summary of the family: Transfer RNA (tRNA) molecules are approximately 80 nucleotides in length. Their secondary structure includes four short double-helical elements and three loops (D, anti-codon, and T loops). Lineage: Eukaryota; Metazoa; Chordata; Mammalia; Perissodactyla; Equidae. The record is from Rfam by way of RNAcentral. RNAcentral also lists the same sequence under 1 other name.